RNAcentral lists this ribosomal RNA (379 nucleotides) under uncultured bacterium. Its description in RNAcentral is "bacterial SSU rRNA". It matches the Rfam family "Bacterial small subunit ribosomal RNA", at positions 790 to 1167 of the family's 1533-position model. The record is from RNAcentral.
GUAGUCCACGCCCUAAACGAUGCGAACUGGACGUUGGGCUCAAUUGAGAGCUCAGUGUCGAAGCUAACGCGUUAAGUUCGCCGCCUGGGGAGUACGGUCGCAAGACUGAAACUCAAAGGAAUUGACGGGGGCCCGCACAAGCGGUGGAGUAUGUGGUUUAAUUCGAUGCAACGCGAAGAACCUUACCUGGUCUUGACAUCCACGGAACCCUUGAGAGAUCGAGGGGUGCCUUCGGGAACCGUGAGACAGGUGCUGCAUGGCUGUCGUCAGCUCGUGUCGUGAGAUGUUGGGUUAAGUCCCGCAACGAGCGCAACCCUUGUCCUUAGUUGCCAGCGAGUAAUGUCGGGAACUCUAAGGAGACUGCCGGUGACAAACCGGA